RNA transcript from Leptopilina heterotoma, 1481 nucleotides. RefSeq lists it as uncharacterized. The record is from RefSeq and is a predicted model, not a curated record. The transcript has 4 exons. NCBI's taxonomy places the organism in Eukaryota, Metazoa, Arthropoda, Insecta, Hymenoptera, Figitidae.
UAAACUGCCUUAAAUAAAGCACAUGUUGGUGUACCUAACCUUCCAGGCAUUUUGACAUUUUGACAGACAAGAUUAUUUAUUUUAAUGUUUUUUUUCAAAUUAUGUUUGCGACUAAAUUCAUAGAAAGUGGCAUUUUUAUUAACUUUUAUGAAAUAUAAAUAAUUCACCACGUUCUAUGAGAAAUAACUGUGAUAAUGGAUGCAAUAAGUGAGCGUCGUGACAGUAAUAACAGCAGUGAUUCAUUAGAUAUUAAUACACGAAGAAAAUUUAAUGAAAUUUGUGAAAUAUCAUCAAAUUGGGAGAUAAAUAAUGAAAAAACAUUUUCCGACACCAUUUCCAUUGUUCCUCGUUCAAAAAUAGCGAAACGACCAAACUUGGAAGAUAUUGUUUCACUAGACACAUGUCUUGGACUCUGCAAUAGAAAAAAUUUAGACGAACCUUGUCUGUUUGAUAUCAAAAUAACAAAUGGUCAGAAAAUAAGUAGCAUCGCUUUAGUAUCGGAAGCGCCUGUUUUAGAAUUUUUCAAACAAUCUGGAGAAUAUGCAGCAACAAUUUUUGCCGAAUUUGUCGAUGAAUUUGAAAAUAAUUCCGUUUAUUUGGGAGAAAUGAAUUUUGAUCCACCCACAUCGGAAGCGAGUAUUCAGUUCACAAAAGUGAAGAAUAAGACUUCAUUAAUGUGGUUAUAUGGUGUAAGGCUGACAUUAACAGACCAAUUAUCGAAAGAGGAGACAAAAAUGUUUAAUCCUCAAAUAAUAAAUGAUUUUUUGCUAAAUUUCAAUAAAUCUAAAUCGAAAAGUGUUGAAAUAGCAAAUAAAGUGUUCCAGUCACUCAAUGGACGUGAAUCGAAUUCAUCAAAUGAAGAUAUUGAUUUAUAUUUAACAAAAUUUAUAGGAAUGGGCUUCUUACCACAUAAGCAAAAAAUCGUUACUAAAGAAAAAGAUAAACAGAAAAUUGAAACAAUUUCUAUCACAAAACCAAAUGAAAAUGAUAUUAAAAGUUAUAUAGAUAAAAAAUUUGUAGAUAUGGAAAAACGAUUGAUGGACAAAAUAGACCAAGUGGAGCAAAAGACUAAUCAAAAAUUAGAUAAAAUUCUCAACAUUUUAGAAACAAAAUCAUCAUAAUAUUUGCAAUUCAUAAGUGAGAUUAUAUUUCGAUUAGUUUUUAGUUGGAAUUUAAGAGGAGUUUUAAGUAUAAUUAUACAAGAUUUAUUUAUAUAUUGGAAACAAAUAAAUUAUGAAAAAAAUUAAGAACAAUUUUUGACUUUUUCCCUGACCCAAGAAGACUAGAGACAGGAGGUAAAACUUCGGUAGUGGGGGUAUGGCAAUGCUGAGUCACUCAGCUGAUGUAUGGUCAGGCGUUUACUUUCAAAAAAGUUUUCGCCGCAAUAGACCACAUGGACUUCUGCGCAUCUAAACACGUAAACACGGGAAAAUAUAUUCUAUACAAAUACAAUAUGAAAUAUAGAAAUUUAUAUUUUUAAA